This 583-nucleotide ribosomal RNA is filed under the name Acinetobacter baumannii OIFC032. RNAcentral's name for it is "bacterial SSU rRNA". It matches the Rfam family "Bacterial small subunit ribosomal RNA", at positions 28 to 605 of the family's 1533-position model. The record is from RNAcentral. Lineage: Bacteria; Pseudomonadati; Pseudomonadota; Gammaproteobacteria; Moraxellales; Moraxellaceae.
AUUGAACGCUGGCGGCAGGCUUAACACAUGCAAGUCGAGCGGGGGAAGGUAGCUUGCUACUGGACUUAGCGGCGGACGGGUGAGUAAUGCUUAGGAAUCUGCCUAUUAGUGGGGGACAACAUCUCGAAAGGGAUGCUAAUACCGCAUACGUCCUACGGGAGAAAGCAGGGGAUCUUCGGACCUUGCGCUAAUAGAUGAGCCUAAGUCGGAUUAGCUAGUUGGUGGGGUAAAGGCCUACCAAGGCGACGAUCUGUAGCGGGUCUGAGAGGAUGAUCCGCCACACUGGGACUGAGACACGGCCCAGACUCCUACGGGAGGCAGCAGUGGGGAAUAUUGGACAAUGGGGGGAACCCUGAUCCAGCCAUGCCGCGUGUGUGAAGAAGGCCUUAUGGUUGUAAAGCACUUUAAGCGAGGAGGAGGCUACUUUAGUUAAUACCUAGAGAUAGUGGACGUUACUCGCAGAAUAAGCACCGGCUAACUCUGUGCCAGCAGCCGCGGUAAUACAGAGGGUGCGAGCGUUAAUCGGAUUUACUGGGCGUAAAGCGUGCGUAGGCGGCUUAUUAAGUCGGAUGUGAAAUCCCCG